This is a non-coding RNA of Brachypodium distachyon (stiff brome), 136 nucleotides long. The record is from Rfam. NCBI's taxonomy places the organism in Eukaryota, Viridiplantae, Streptophyta, Magnoliopsida, Poales, Poaceae.
CUGAUACUCCCUCUGUCCAACAAAAGAUGUCUCAAGUUUGCCAAAAUUUGGAUGUAUCUAGACAUGACUUAGUGUAUAGAUACAUUCAAAUUUAGUCAAAGUUGACACAUCCUUUGUUGGACAGAGGGAGUAUAUA